GCCUGUGUGGCUCAGUGGUUGAGCACUGACCUAUGAAUCAGGAGUUCACGGUUGGAUUCCUGUUCCAGGCA
RNAcentral lists this transfer RNA (71 nucleotides) under Myotis davidii. It matches the Rfam family "tRNA". Rfam says of the family: Transfer RNA (tRNA) molecules are approximately 80 nucleotides in length. Lineage: Eukaryota; Metazoa; Chordata; Mammalia; Chiroptera; Vespertilionidae. The record is from Rfam by way of RNAcentral.